Molecule: long non-coding RNA, 281 nt
Filed under: Ficedula albicollis (Collared flycatcher)
Lineage: Eukaryota; Metazoa; Chordata; Aves; Passeriformes; Muscicapidae
Description: lncRNA (ENSFALG00000016975.2)
Source: RNAcentral
GGGAGGGUAUUUAAGAACCAGGGAGGAGAGAGGCUACUUUUUCCAGCGUGGUCUGUCUGGCUGGUCCCUACUAGGUAUGAGGAGUCCCAAGGUGAUGCUGUGACUAUGAAAUUAGAGGAAAAAUGGUAAGUGAAGACAGACUGGUAAGGCAAGACAGUCUGGUGGAGGGGAGUCAUUAAUGCAACAUAGACCUUGAAAUGGCUGCAUGCAAAUGCGAUACAGUGAGACAUUGACAUUCGUGCUGAUGAGCAGCCCAGCUGGAUACUUGGGCAGAAUCAAAG